GGAAUAAUUGUGUGUUUAAUACCCUGUAGUAUAUGCAAUGACUGACCAACAGAAUCCUGCUGUUGGACAGGGAACUCUGUCCAGUAUUCUGUGAUACUCUCUAUGGGAAAAGAAUCUGAGAAAGAAUGGAUGUGUAUGUAUGUACAACUGAAUCACUUUAUUCUACAACAGAAAUUAUCACAACAUUUUAAAUCAACUAUGCUUCAGUAAAACUUUAAAAAAUGAGGGAAAAAAAUGAUGUUUUGGCACUUUAAAUGCUAAAUGCAGCUGAAAGCAGGACAAACAAAACUGAAAAGAAAGACCAGAGACAAUGCACAUGAAAAGGAAAGAUAGUUGUUCAAGAAACCAGUUUAGUGGAGAUAGGAGGACAAACUCAGAAGUGCUGUCUGGGUAGAACAACUUCACAUGAAUCAAGUGUUAAAUGUGCUCUGGCUGCACACAGAAGUGGUUCCAGACACUCUGGGAAGUUGAUUUUUAAUAUUUACAGGGUAGAUUAUUUAUUCCAGUUCCAACCAUAAGGUUUAGAAUUAAUCUUCAUCUCAAUUCACUUUCUAACUAACUGCAUCAUGCUGCUGCUUUAAAGAUGAGCUACCAUUUUUUCCUGUUUCAUAUUUGUAAGCUUUUAUCAAGCAUAUUUAGGAAUCAGCCAUUUUAAGCGAUUGCUUUAUUUAUACUAAAUAAGCUGGAUGAUGUUAAUCAAAAGCAUUGGCUUUAGUGUCAAAUUUAUAUGAAUUCUGUAUGGAAUGUGUGAUCUUGGGGAAAAUGCAGAAUGCUUUCUUGGUUUGUUACUUGUCUUAUUUCUUUGUUUUUUUGUUUUGUUUUGUUUUAUUUUGUUUUGGGGUUUCUUUUUUGCUUUUUAGGGUUACAUCCACACUAUUUGGAGAUUACCUGGCUAGGGGUCGAAUUGGAGCUAUAGCUGCUGGUCUAGGCCACAGCCACAGCAAUACAAGACCCUGUGUUGUGACCUACACCAUAGUUUGGUUGCAAUGCCAGAUCCUUUAACCCACUGAGUGAAGCCAGGAAUCGAACCCGUGACCUCAUAGAUACUAUCAGGUUUGUUAUCACUGAGCCACAACGGGAACUCCCCAUUUGUUUGUUUGUUUAAAGGAUACAGUGUUUACCCUGUGGUGUUUUUGUGAAGAUUACAUAAAUAUUGUCAAUUAUUUAAUGCAAUAUCUCAUCCAUAGAAGGCACUCAGUAAAUAGUAGCUGGUGUUAUUUGAAAAACCUAUGUCCCUAGAGAGUUUCUGAACCGUAAAGGGAGCAUGUAAGAUAGAUGAGUGAAAAUUAUCAGGUGGUUUUGAGCCCGGAUGAUGAUGUGAAUGAUUGAACCCAGGGGUGUUUGGAGAGUUGUGCCAGAUGCAUGGAAGAAUUAAGAGAAAAUGCCAUGGCCUAAAAGAGAUGGCUUUUAAUGUGGAUAGUGGAUGUGGGAAUAAUUAAUUAUUUUUUUAUAAUAGUGGGCCUGAUGCAGUACACUGAACCCCUCUCGGAUGUCCCAACAGACUAUUCAGUGUGAAAUGUCAGAUACAGUAUUUAGUGAGCAGAAAAUACUAAGCAGUGUAGAGAGGUUAUAAUUUGAUAAACAGAAGUGAUACAACUUCACUACCACAAAAAUUAAAGAAUGCACAUUUGACAGAAUAUGUAUGAAUUUAGCUAGUAAGUAUAUAAGGAUCUUAAGUUGUAACUAUUAGACAGUUCUACUCAAACAGUAACAUGAUGCUUUAGGCCAAAAAAGGGAAACAUGACAAUUAUAAAUGCUUUUAUUGGACAUUGUGACAUUUUUAGACUACAGUGGAGAUUUUGUUGUAAUUAUUACUAGAUUGCUUAGCAUGAUGUAUAGUAUUUUUAAGUUGUAAAAAUAUGUCACCAAAAAUUCUAGUUUUUGAAAGCACCAUGAGGCAAACAGAAGGAUGCCCACAUUUAUUUUCUUAUGUGUCUUGGUAAUAGAAGAAAUUUCAUAACUUUUUACUGUUUUGGUGAGGUAUUUCACGACAAGAAAACUACAGAUGCAUACCAUUUAUAUUUGUAUUUUUUUGUAAUUCCUCCUUUCAAAAACACACAAGGAUAUAAAAUAUAUACUACUUGUAGAAAAUAUUUGAAAAUCACUAAAGAACCUAGAGAAGCUUAAGAUCAAAAUUUUUUAUACUGAUUUUUAUUUUUUCCAUUAUAGAUGGUUUACAGUGUUCUGUCAAUUUUCUACUGUACAGCAAUGUGACCCAGUCACACAUACAGGUAUACAUUCUUUUUUCUUGCAUUAUCAUGCUCCAUCGUAAGUAAGUAGAUACAGUUCCCAAUGCUAUACAGCAGGGAUGGAUUGGGAAUUUGGGGUUAAUAGAAGAUCAGACAUUGAAAUGUUGACUAGAAGUGGCUAACAAAAAGUUUAGGCAGUUGCUGUCUACUCAAGGUAAGUUUUUAGUUUUAUCUUAUUUGUCUAUCAAUUAAUACCUAUUUGUGUUUAGAUCAUUGUGACUUUUGAGGGAGCUCAAUUAUUGAAAUAACACUAUUGCUUUUGGAAUGGAUUAGCAAUGAGAUCCUGCUCUGUAGUACUGAGAACUAUGUCUAGUCACUUAUGAUGGAGCAUGAUAAUGGGAGAAAAAAGAAUGUAUACAUAUAUGUGUAACUGGGUCUCCAUACUGUACAGUAGAAAAAAAAUUGUUGUGGGGAAAUAACAAUAAUUUUUUUAAUUUGAUUCACUUUUGUGGUAUGUCAUAAUACACUUUGAUUUUAACAGAUGGAAAAUAAACUAUAAUUUAUCAAGAAUGACAUUUUUUAGUUAAAUUUAUUAUGUGAUAAACUUGGGUGGUCUAAUAGAUGUAAAAAUCACAGAUUCACAAAUUUUAACUAAAAUAUUAUUAAUAGAAAGAAACAAAACAUGGUAUUAGAGGAUCUUUGAUGUAUUUACACAGUCUGAUUAAAGCAGAUAAUUAAAAGUAAAUGUAAAGAUGACUAUAAUAAUUACUUGAUUGGUAGAUUUGCCACUGAUUUAAUUAAAUUUUUAUGACUCUAUUAGUUAUAAGAAUUAGAUAAUAAAUUACUAGUAUUUUUUAAUUGAAUGACCACUAAAAGAGGGAAAAAAGUGAAAUUUAGGGUAAAAGUAUGAUUAUGAAUUAGAACAGCUAGUUAAAAUUACGAGAGUUUCAAAUUUCAAUAAAGGCUGAGAAAAGUAGAGUUCCCACUGUGGCUCAGUGCUAACAAACUUGACUAGUAUCCAUGAGGAUGGGGGUUCGAUCCCUGGCCCCACUCAUAGGUUAAGGAUCUGGGGUUGCCAUAAGCUGUGGUAUAGAUCACAGAUGUGGCUAGGACCUAGCAUUGCUGUGGCUGUGACAUAGACUGGCAGCUGCAUCUCCAAUGUGAUCCCUAGCUUGGGAACUUCCAUAUGCUGAGGUACGGCCCUAAAAAAAAAAGUGUUUAGUGCACAAAACAGAUAGAUAGUAACCUGAACAAACAGAAUGUAUUUAAAUGCACAAAUUAUUUGGAAAGUGAGAAUCAAAGGAACCAGUUUGACCAAUUCUGAAACUAUAGACAAUGCUAUAUUAAAAUCGCCAAACAUUGACCCCAGAAAUGUCAUUACUUAAUAUAAAGGUGUCUUAUUGCAUGAGAUGCCAAGUCAUGUGACAAAAUUUAUGAGACCUGAUUAAAUAUAACAACC
This 3648-nucleotide long non-coding RNA is filed under the name Sus scrofa (pig). Its description in RNAcentral is "lncRNA (ENSSSCG00035046933.1)". Lineage: Eukaryota; Metazoa; Chordata; Mammalia; Artiodactyla; Suidae. The record is from RNAcentral.